RNAcentral lists this ribosomal RNA (461 nucleotides) under uncultured bacterium. Its description in RNAcentral is "partial 16S ribosomal RNA". It matches the Rfam family "Bacterial small subunit ribosomal RNA", at positions 28 to 506 of the family's 1533-position model. The record is from RNAcentral.
GACGAACGCUGGCGGCGUGCUUAACACAUGCAAGUCGAGCGGAAAGGCCCUUCGGGGUCCUCGAGCGGCGAACGGGUGAGUAACACGUGAGUAACCUGCCCCAGACUUUGGGAUAACCCUCGGAAACGGGGGCUAAUACCGGAUACGACACAGCUUCGCAUGGGGUCUGUGUGGAAAGUUUUUCGGUUUGGGAUGGGCUCGCGGCCUAUCAGCUUGUUGGUGGGGUGAUGGCCUACCAAGGCGACGACGGGUAGCCGGCCUGAGAGGGCGACCGGCCACACUGGGACUGAGACACGGCCCAGACUCCUACGGGAGGCAGCAGUGGGGAAUAUUGCACAAUGGGCGGAAGCCUGAUGCAGCGACGCCGCGUGAGGGAUGACGGCCUUCGGGUGGUAAACCUCUUUCAGCAGGGACGAAGCGUAAGUGACGGUACCUGCAGAAGAAACGCCGGCCAACUACGU